AUGGCGCUGCGCACCGUUGCCGCGAAGCUGAAGGCCCCCGUCGCCUCUCUCAAGCAGGCCUGGGCGGUCUGCCGUCCUCAGGCUAAGCACCCUUUGGAGGGCCUGAAUGUUGAUCCGCUCACCCUCCAGGAGAUGAAGGCCCUCGAGAGGGCCGUUAGGGCAGGCGAAAUGAAGCAGACUUUGGUUACCAUUGGCUUCAUGGGUGGUUUGACUGGUGCGGUUGCCCAUUUGCUCCAUUCAGACUUAGCUGCCCGUGAGGCGACGGCGGAGGCGGAGGCGGAGGCGGCGGUACGUGAGGUGCUUGAUUCGCUUGAUUCAGAUGUCAAUGCGGUUGGUACAAACAAAGACUAA
RNAcentral lists this ribosomal RNA (351 nucleotides) under Triticum aestivum (bread wheat). RNAcentral's name for it is "partial small subunit ribosomal RNA". The record is from RNAcentral. Lineage: Eukaryota; Viridiplantae; Streptophyta; Magnoliopsida; Poales; Poaceae.